AGAGUUUGAUCCUGGCUCAGGACGAACGCUGGAGGUAUGCCUCAUACAUGCAAGUCGAACGAGAUUUGAUAGAGCUUGCUCUAUCGAUGAGAGUGGCGCACGGGUGAGUAACGCGUGGGUAACCUGCCUCGAAGUUUGGGAUAACAUUGGGAAACCAAUGCUAAUACCGACUAAUUUUUAUUACUGUAUGGUGAUUUAAUAAAAGAUGCCCUCUUCUAUGGUAUCGCUUCGAGAGGGGCCUGCGUCCUAUUAGCUAGUUGGUGGGGUAACAGCCUACCAAGGCGAAGAUGGGUAGCCGGCUUGAGAGAGUGAUCGGCCACACUGGAACUGAGACACGGUCCAGACUCCUACGGGAGGCAGCAGUAGGGAAUAUUCCGCAAUGGGCGAAAGCCUGACGGAGCAAUACCUCGUGAGUGAUGAAGGCUUUAGGGUCGUAAAGCUCAGUCAGCAGGGAAGAAGGGUUAUGGUUCGAAUAGGGCUAUAGCUUUGACGGUACCUGCAGAGGAAGCCACGGCUAAUUACGUGCCAGCAGCCGCGGUAAUACGUAAGUGGCAAGCGUUGUCCGGAUUUACUGGGCGUAAAGAACGCGUAGGCGGUUUUCUAAGUUGGGGGUGAAAUCCUGAGGCCCAACCUCAGGCCUGCCUCCAAAACUGGAGAACUAGAGUUUCGGAGAGGAAGAUGGUAUUCCAUGUGUAGCGGUGAAAUGCGUAGAUAUAUGGGAGAACACCAAUGGCGAAAGCAGUCUUCUGGACGAAUACUGACGCUGAGGCGUGAAAGCGUGGGUAGCGAACAGGAUUAGAUACCCUGGUAGUCCACGCC
RNAcentral lists this ribosomal RNA (819 nucleotides) under marine metagenome. RNAcentral describes it as "bacterial SSU rRNA". It matches the Rfam family "Bacterial small subunit ribosomal RNA", at positions 8 to 801 of the family's 1533-position model. The record is from RNAcentral.